GAUGAACGCUGGCGGCGUGCUUAACACAUGCAAGUCGAACGGUGAAGGCGGAGCUUGCUCUGCUGGAUCAGUGGCGAACGGGUGAGUAACACGUGAGCAAUCUGCCCCUGACUCUGGGAUAAGCGCUGGAAACGGCGUCUAAUACUGGAUACGAGCUGCGAAGGCAUCUUCAGCAGCUGGAAAGAACUUCGGUCAGGGAUGAGCUCGCGGCCUAUCAGCUUGUUGGUGAGGUAACGGCUCACCAAGGCGUCGACGGGUAGCCGGCCUGAGAGGGUGACCGGCCACACUGGGACUGAGACACGGCCCAGACUCCUACGGGAGGCAGCAGUGGGGAAUAUUGCACAAUGGGCGAAAGCCUGAUGCAGCAACGCCGCGUGAGGGACGACGGCCUUCGGGUUGUAAACCUCUUUUAGCAGGGAAGCAGCGAAAGUGACGUUACCUGCAGAAAAAGCGCCGGCUAACUACGUG
This 468-nucleotide ribosomal RNA is filed under the name uncultured bacterium. RNAcentral describes it as "partial 16S ribosomal RNA". It matches the Rfam family "Bacterial small subunit ribosomal RNA", at positions 28 to 507 of the family's 1533-position model. The record is from RNAcentral.